This is a long non-coding RNA of Micropterus salmoides (largemouth bass), 347 nucleotides long. RefSeq lists it as uncharacterized. NCBI's taxonomy places the organism in Eukaryota, Metazoa, Chordata, Actinopteri, Centrarchiformes, Centrarchidae. The transcript has 4 exons. The record is from RefSeq and is a predicted model, not a curated record.
GGGCUCUGCUCCAGAUCAAGUGGUUUACCAGAAUGAAACUACAGUGCACUACUCUCAUCUGCAUGGUGAUGCUUGUCUCUCUGAAUCAAUCAGAGGCUCAGAAAACACUGAAAAUGUUAGAUGCAGAUGAAUCCAGCUGUCACAUACUCGUUGAUUCAGCUUAAACACAGUAGUAAUAAAGGGCAGCAUAAUGAAUCAGAGGAGAGCUCCCUUUACUCGAAUGUGAAGACAGGAUCAGCUGCAGGUACAGUCACUUGCAACAGUUUGUCCAAUAGUUUGUUUUGAAAUAUGCAAAAUAUUAUUGAAAGUGACUCUGUAGUUCAAAUCACUCUAAUUUUACUUCCUGU